This 465-nucleotide ribosomal RNA is filed under the name uncultured bacterium. Its description in RNAcentral is "bacterial SSU rRNA". It matches the Rfam family "Bacterial small subunit ribosomal RNA", at positions 28 to 507 of the family's 1533-position model. The record is from RNAcentral.
GACGAACGCUGGCGGCGUGCUUAAAACAUGCAAGUCGAACGGACUUCUCAUGAAGCUUGCGAUUGAGAAGUUAGUGGCGGACGGGUGAGUAACGCGUGGGCAACCUGCCCCUGAGCCCGGGAUAACAGUUCGAAAGGACUGCUAAGACCGGAUAUACUUGCGGGGAAGCAUUUCACUGCAAGGAAAGGGAACGCUCAGGGAUGGGCCCGCGUCCCAUUAGCUAGUUGGUGAGGUAACGGCCCACCAAGGCGACGAUGGGUAGCCGGCCUGAGAGGGUGAACGGCCACACUGGGACUGAGACACGGCCCAGACUCCUACGGGAGGCAGCAGUUGGGAAUCUUCGGCAAUGGGCGCAAGCCUGACCGAGCGACGCCGCGUGAGUGAUGAAGGUUUUCGGAUUGUAAAGCUCUGUCUUCCGGGACGAUAAUGACGGUACCGGAGGAGGAAGCCACGGCUAACUACGUG